RNAcentral lists this ribosomal RNA (500 nucleotides) under uncultured bacterium. RNAcentral's name for it is "partial 16S ribosomal RNA". It matches the Rfam family "Bacterial small subunit ribosomal RNA", at positions 30 to 523 of the family's 1533-position model. The record is from RNAcentral.
AUUGAACGCUGGCGGCAUGCCUUACACAUGCAAGUCGAACGGCAGCACGGGAGCAAUCCUGGUGGCGAGUGGCGAACGGGUGGGUAAAGUAUCGGAACGUGCCCAGUCGUGGGGGAUAACGUAGCGAAAGUUACGCUAAUACCGCAUACGAUCUAUGGAUGAAAGCGGGGGAUCGCAAGACAUCGCGCGAUUGGAGCGGCCGAUAGCAGAUUAGGUAGUUGGUGGGGUAAAGGCUCACCAAGCCGACGAUCUGUAGCUGGUCUGAGAGGACGACCAGCCACACUGGGACUGAGACACGGCCCAGACUCCUACGGGAGGCAGCAGUGGGGAAUUUUGGACAAUGGGCGAAAGCCUGAUCCAGCCAUGCCGCGUGCAGGAUGAAGGCCUUCGGGUUGUAAACUGCUUUUGUACGGAACGAAAAGGUUUGGCCUAAUAAGCUGAGCUCAUGACGGUACCGUAAGAAUAAGCACCGGCUAACUACGUGCCAGCCGCCGCGGUAA